This 563-nucleotide small RNA is filed under the name Pan troglodytes (chimpanzee). RNAcentral describes it as "processed transcript". Lineage: Eukaryota; Metazoa; Chordata; Mammalia; Primates; Hominidae. The record is from RNAcentral.
GGAUGAUAUCGCUGAUUUAGUAGAAGCUAAAAAGUUGCUUAAGGAAGCUGUAGUGUUACCAAUGUGGAUGCCCGAAUUCUUUAAGGGCAUUAGGAGACCAUGGAAAGGAGUACUGAUGGUCGGCCCACCUGGCACAGGGAAGACGCUCCUUGCUAAAGCAGUAGCUACAGAAUGCAAGACAACAUUCUUCAAUGUCUCUUCAUCAACUUUGACUUCCAAAUACAGAGGAGAAUCUGAGAAGCUUGUUCGUCUUCUGUUUGAAAUGGCUCGAUUUUAUUCUCCAGCCACCAUAUUUAUUGAUGAGAUAGACUCCAUCUGUAGUCGCCGAGGGACUUCUGAAGAACAUGAAGCAAGCAGAAGGGUGAAAGCGGAGCUGCUGGUUCAGAUGGAUGGUAUCUGUGUUUAGCUUUAGUUGAACAGGGACGGGAGGUUGUUAGGUGUGGUGUCUCCAGUUCCAGUGGGUCAAACUUUACUCAUAGUGCUAACCCAAGCUUUUAAUAGGUAUUCUUAAUUUCAGAUGGACUAGAGGGGGUGGCAAGUAGUUCCUGAUAGUGAUAGUAAUA